CAAAACACUAGAUGUAAAAAAUGGAUGUAAAAAAUGGAUUGUCAUUUUGUUCGAUCUCAGGUUCGAUCUCAAGUCAUUCACACUGUGUUCACUUGAAGUUAUGAUCAAUUGGCUGACGUAUUUACUAAAGCUCUGCCAUCUGCUCAGUUUCAUCAUCUUUUGGGCAAGCUUGGCUCAAUAAAUCCCCUUGAUCCAGCUUGAACAGGGGUGUUGAAGUAGUAAAGUAUUGAUGCACAAAAUCGGAUGGCAAGCAUGGAAGCAUGGAGCUGCUAGUAUGUUGGAAGAAUAAUGCAAGCUUUCUGCUAGUCUUAGUGCUAGUACUAGCUGUUUACUUUAGGAUAAUUAAAGUAAUAAUGUUCCCUCAUAAUUGUAAAGUUAAGUUAGUGGCUUAAGUUAGGUAGAGUGGAGGCCAUCAUCAUGAUUGCUUUUGCUGUCAUCAUGAUUACUUUUGUUGUCAUUGUCCUCCACCUCUUGUUUUCCCUUUUCUUUCCCGUUUCUUCCUCUAUAUUUGUUUUGAUCUUGUAAUAGUUUAAACCAUGAAAUAGACAUACAUAGAUGGAAGUUGGGUAACCUUGCUUUAUUUAAAAAGGAUUCCCUGCUCACAGAGAAAAGCUUCUUCGUUUUUGGGACUAUCACCAUAAGGACAUACAGGUUUCCAAGUGAGUAGAAGAGCAUUUUGCAUCGUGUUCAUGGCCUCUGCAGGAACGAAUUGGUGAUCUUUUGUAUUCUGCAGUUUUUCAGACACAUGUUGGAAGGCAUGAUGAUGAUAAAGAUAACUCAUCGCAAAGGUUAUCAAGACUAACGGCUUUUGCAGGAGCAACAACCAUGAUAAAGUAUUCUUGAACAAAUGUUUAUAUAAUUUUUCACCAAAGUGAGAAUUAUUAGGAAGUUCUGUUCAAUGUAAUUUUUACAUGAAAUUGUGACUAACAGUUUAUAACAUGAUACUAAUCUUUCCAAAGAAAGAAAUAAUGAUUGGUUCAAACUGUGACUCAGUGUAUAGUAUUUCAUGAUUCCGUAAGGCAACUUUAGUCUCUUGUCCAAAGAUAUGAUUCAAGUUGGAAUGUGAAUUUUGUGAAAUAGCUAUACAAAUAAGGAUGUGUAAUGCAUAUUUGGCAGUUUAUGUUUCUUGCCCAAAGGUGUAACAUAAAUCUGUGUUUAAUAUUUAAAGUUGUUUCUCAUCCAAGGUUGCGGAGUAGAAGCUUUUCUUUGGUUUCAUCCAUGACUUCUUCAGGUAGGUAAUCAUUCAUCUCUUUACACUUCCAAUAUGUUGUUCGCUGCUGUACUCUUUGCAUAUAGGUAAUGUCUUCUUGAUUACACUAUAAUACAUGUUGAUAUAUAUAUAUAUAUAUAUAUAUAUUGGCACAUAGACAUUGGUGUAAUGCAAUUGUAGCUUAAUAAUUGAAUCGUUGCCCACAUGAUAUUUUAUUCGAUCAAUUUCAAAGUGGGUCUCUGCUUUCCCAUUUGUUUAAUUGUAACACUCUUUUUGCUUUGAGUCGGGUUCCAAUUAAUAAUAGGUUUUUCUUAAGCAAUUAUUGAUGAACUUUGAAAGAAAAGUAAUGAAACAUAUCAACUAUAUAUAAAAACGACAAAGUUAUCACAUACUUGCAUCAACUAAGCAAAACGCAAUGGCUUAGUUGACUUUAGGACCAGUGAUUUUAAGGUUCUUUGAUCAAACUUGCAUCUUAAUUAUAACAAAGGGAUCGAUGAUCUUCUUGCCCAAAUGUGUAGAUCAUUAUUUUUGGUUCAAUUAGGAUGGCAUAGUAUGAAUUUAUUUCAAAAAACAAAAAAACAAAACAAAAACAAAAAACCAAAAAAUAAAAAAAUAAAAAUUUGUGAAGGCCUUGCCCAAAGGUGUUGAAAGUUUUCAUGAGGUAACCCAUGUAAUACAUGAUCAAGAGAUAAAGUUCUUUAUUUUUAUUUACGAAUGCUUUUGCUAUGAGCCUCAUUAUAGGUAUGUAAGGACCAAUUUUAAUGAAAGCAUGAGAUAUAAAAUGUUUAUAUAUAUAUAUAUCUUCAUGAGAGAUGUCGAUGCACAAAAAUUGCUUGGCAAAUUAUGUCUUGAAUAAAGCUUAAUCAAUGGCACAUAUAUGGACCAUGAAAAUGCUUGACAUUUUGAUAUGUUGUACGUAUAUGUGUCUUCUCCUACAAUUCACAUUUUCGUGGUCAUUGGUUAUGUAUUUUAUUUGUUAUAAAUUUAUAAGUAAUCUAUGCUCAUAAAGAAAUCUAUGCUGGCAGUUUAUGGUUAGUCCACUUUGCUUGUCUCUUGGUUAUUAAUAGGACAAACAUGACUUCUUAACUUGUUAUAUGAAUAAUAAGCGUCUCUGGUUUAUUUUACAUAACUUGAGGAUUAGUCAUUAUAUAUAUAUAUAUAUAUAUAUAUAUAUAUAUAUAUAAAUUAGUUAUAGUAAAUCCUAGAGUAAUUGGAACUCACUCGUGGAAUCUUUUGUUUUGGAUUUCUAUUCUUUUGUGUUUAAAAUUUUAAGCAACUAGUACGCCGAAUUUUGGUGAAGCAAUAAAUUAAUGAGUGUUUUGCCCAUGUAAGAGAAUAAGUGACGAAAUCUUGAGCUUCACACUCAUUAACUCAUUCAAAAGUUAUUAAGUUCUAAAAGAUUAUGAGAGUUGUUCUUUGUGUUGUCCAAAUCAAAUUGAAAGUAAACUAAAGUUUUUGAAAACACAUGUAUUAAGUUUCCUUCUAUGAUGAAUGCAUGUUUAAUAUUCAACAUCCAUAUGUGAGAAAACAGAUCAGUAACGCCAAGGUACUAUUAGCAUGCUCUACCAUCCAAGUCUUGGAACAAUAACUAAUGUACGCAUGCAUACGGCAUAUGGCAUAUACCACCAUGACAUGAAUCAAAUGGAAAGUCAUUAUUUCCAAAGCAAUCAGUUUCAGGCUGUAAAGCAAGUUUCAUUAGUUUCAUGCUGUAGAGCAAGGGUUUCAUAAUUUUGCACUAGAAUUUGCUAAAAUGUAGUGUAAGGAACCUCACCCUGAUUCAAACUAGCAUGACUCAAGUUGAAUUAUAAUCUUAAAGAUGACAACAUGGUUAAAUUGCGUGACUAUAUAUAAUGUAUAUAUGAUGUUUAUGUGCAUUGUCUAUCAUCUUUGUCUAUUGCAUAUGGUUGCAUUGGAUGGUUACAUGUUGGUCUUUAUAAGUAGUGUGAAGCUAAUACGAACUAAUGUUUGAUAUCGAUACAAUUGUGGUCCAGUUGUUUCAUACCGUUUGAUUGUUUGUGGUAUGGUUUUGUGUAUCCAUCAUACAUGCUUAAAUGAAUAUCAAGGAAAGAUUGGAAUAUCUUGUGCAUGAAAGAUUGUGAUACUUUUGUGACUUUUUCAUUGAUAAUGUGAUUUCUUGCAUGUUAAGGAAACAUAAAAGAAGUAAAUAAAUAAAAUUAUGUGGUAAGAUGCUUUUGUGUUAACUAAUUGUCAUAGUAAGGUUGCUCCCAAAGCAUGCAUAUUUCAGAACUUUAUCAAAAGUGUAGUUCUGUAAUUACGUUAUGAUUAAUUAAAUUAGUGGGAGUGAUAACUUUAUAUUUGUUUUGCCUUACAUCUUGCAAAUUAUUAUGUAUUGUACUCUUUCGCCGUAAGGGUUCUUUCUGGUUUGAUUAAACAAAUAUGUGCUAUAAAUACACUUGGUGGCCAACUAGUUAGAAUAAUGGCUAAUUGUACUACUUCGUGAAAGUGUUUUGGACUUGUGACUUCAAUUUUUGAAGUAACAAGGAAGACUGUUAUACAGUGAUACAGGAUAUCAACUUGUGAAUAUAAGGAUGGAGAUUAUGACUAUUCAAAUAAGGAUCUAUAUAUACGGCUAUUGCAUUUUCACAUAAGGUUGUUGCAUACAGUUCGCUAGAAAUGUACCACUAUCGUGAAGCUUUAUUAUUAGUUUCAAUAUGCGAGAUUAGUGGGAAUGUUCAAAGAACAUGUAGCAAACAUGGGUGUGCAUGAUAGUUUUGAUUCUAUAGGAAUGUGGGAGUAAAACAUGCUACUGCAUGAAUUAUAACUAUUUAUUAGUGUUGCUGCGAGUUUGUGUUUUGUUGUUUCAUUCAAGCUUAUAUUCAAUUGACACUAUGGUUAUUGAUUCAGACUUAUUUAAAGCAAUUAAUGUGGCCAAUGAUUGUUCCAAAGAACAUAUUGGAUAAGUUUGUUUUGUGCAGGAAGCUAGAAAUCAACUCAAAGUCCAGUGUUUAAGGAUGAAAAUCUCUAAAGAUAAGUCUGAUUAAAGUGCAUUGGACAGAUGAGUGUGGAAGGAAAAGGUGUGAGAAUUGUAAUGAUUACUGAAGUAUGGAUUGUACAUAUAUGCAUAUGUCAUUGACAUCAUACAGUGCGAUUUUGAAUAUCGUGAUUUCAGGGUGCAUGCAGUAUUGAUACAUGCAUUGUUUUUUGGAGUUCAAUUUUCAAAUGUUUAUUAGUAUAUGUGUAUAGGAUAUGGAUUGCGUGAAACUCACGGUGAUCACUAAGGAAUGAUUUAUAAUGAACAUGUUGUUU
Malus domestica (apple) is the source of this 4477-nucleotide non-coding RNA. The record is from RefSeq and is a predicted model, not a curated record. NCBI's taxonomy places the organism in Eukaryota, Viridiplantae, Streptophyta, Magnoliopsida, Rosales, Rosaceae.